GAUGCUAUCCUCCAAUAAUUUGACAGGAAACUUGCCGAUGACUUUUGCCAUGCUGGGAAGUCUAACAGAUUUUAGGAUAAAUGAUAACAACUUCAGAGGAACAAUACCUGAUUUCAUACAGAAUUGGAAGCAACUGACAAGAUUAGAAAUGCAUGCAAGUGGACUGGAGGGACCCAUCCCACCAAAUAUAUCUCUUCUGAGUAAUUUACAAGACUUG
This is a long non-coding RNA of Alnus glutinosa, 217 nucleotides long. RefSeq lists it as uncharacterized. The transcript has 3 exons. Lineage: Eukaryota; Viridiplantae; Streptophyta; Magnoliopsida; Fagales; Betulaceae. The record is from RefSeq and is a predicted model, not a curated record.